GCCCUCGUGGUGAAAUUGGUAGACACAAAGGACUUAAAAUCCUUGCCUUUUAGGAGUGCCAGUUCGAGUCUGGCCGAGGGCACCA
Molecule: transfer RNA, 85 nt
Filed under: Candidatus Pelagibacter sp.
Lineage: Bacteria; Pseudomonadati; Pseudomonadota; Alphaproteobacteria; Candidatus Pelagibacterales; Candidatus Pelagibacteraceae
Also listed under: 1 other name
Description: tRNA-Leu
Rfam family: tRNA
About the family: Transfer RNA (tRNA) molecules are approximately 80 nucleotides in length.
Source: RNAcentral